This 117-nucleotide non-coding RNA is filed under the name Pan troglodytes (chimpanzee). Lineage: Eukaryota; Metazoa; Chordata; Mammalia; Primates; Hominidae. The record is from Rfam by way of RNAcentral.
GCCGGGCGCGGUGGCUCACGCCUGUAAUCCCAGCACUUUGGGAGGCCGAGGCGGGUGGAUCACCUGAGGUCAGGAGUUUGAGACCAGCCUGGCCAACAUGGUGAAACCCUGUCUCUA